CGGGCAUGAGAACUGGAAUGCCUAUCACGGUCAAGGCUGCAAGGCUGAAAUGCUGCUGACCCCUGAAUCUAGGACUAUCAGCAUGUUAAAUAACACCUGCUUUAGUCUCAGGGUCCCAGGAACUGGGAACAGACAGAAAUCUCUGGGGAGGAAUCAAGAAGCCCACUGGGGAAGGCUGAAGUCUACCAAAGAGGAUUGGUGACAUCAGGCUUGACAAACAAAUGACAACAGGGGUCGGCAAACUGGAAGGUCCAACGUGGACGUACAGUUUACCCCACGCAGGCAUGGAGAGGGGCCUAAAGGACGUGUCUUCCAUCCCGAGCUCACUGGCUGGUAGGAUGUGAAAGAAACGAGAAGUGCACAGUUGAAUCCCACAGUUUCCCGAUGGAAACUGAGCUGGGGUAAAACACAAGGAGACCAGGGCCAUGGUGAAGGUCUUCGAACAACAUCAUUCUUGACCUGGAUGCGUGAGGACAAUUAUUUGGCUGUAAAAAGAUGUUUCAGGGACAGAGGUAGAGUCCCCUCGCCCGCUGACAAACAAAUCCAUCAGGUAGGUCCUAACCACCAAUGGUCUUCAACAGACACAAAGUGCAGUAAGAGAAACACUCGGUGGGGAGGUAACUGGAAGUCAUCAUCAGGAGAAUUAAGGGGAUGGAAGGGUGUUUGUGUUCAGCCAACUUAACGUGCUACUGAAAAUGCCUGGUUGGGAGGAUAGGUGUGAUUUGUAGAAAUGAAAGGGGAAUGAACAUACCCCUGCCCUUUUAGAGACCCAGCAAUCCCCUUGGCUCAAAAGCCAAUGGUGCUCUUGCUGUGACACACGGGGGCAGUCAGCAAGCCCCCGAAGCAAAGGGCGCAGACUGAGGAAGACGCAGCCCUGCUCAGGCAAGAUGGGGCACUUCGUGGAUAAGAGACAAAGGAACAGUCAUUUCUACCCCCUCCACCAGCCCUGGGGUCUGCCUCCUUACCAGUGAGGGGGCCAUCUGUGGAGGACGGCAGUAGCCCGCCAAGUGUGAACCCUUAUAUUUUCAAGGAAUAGUAGUCGAGGAUGAUGGUGAGUGUAGAGGACCAUGAGCUGGUAAUGGCACACGACGGGGCUGUGGCUGCGCCACACACCCAUGCAGUUCAGCAGCACGGUCCCCCUGUGGCCAGAGAGCACCUGCUGUGAGAAAGCAGACCGCAGCCUGCAGAUGGUUUGAUCCUUGCUCUGUUUCCCUGUGAUGCGAGCAACUCACUUCACCUGCUGAGGGCUUGGUUACUUUAGUAAAGUGAGGGGAAUGGGAAAUCUCUGAUUUCUUCACUGGCUCAUCAUGAGAAUAAAAGUAAUUUUUUAAAGAGCUUAUUUAUUUAU
Molecule: long non-coding RNA, 1348 nt
Filed under: Vulpes vulpes (red fox)
Lineage: Eukaryota; Metazoa; Chordata; Mammalia; Carnivora; Canidae
Description: lncRNA (ENSVVUG00000019795.1)
Source: RNAcentral